RNAcentral lists this transfer RNA (73 nucleotides) under Stegodyphus mimosarum. It matches the Rfam family "tRNA". Rfam says of the family: Transfer RNA (tRNA) molecules are approximately 80 nucleotides in length. Their secondary structure includes four short double-helical elements and three loops (D, anti-codon, and T loops). The record is from Rfam by way of RNAcentral. Lineage: Eukaryota; Metazoa; Arthropoda; Arachnida; Araneae; Eresidae.
GCUUUCGUGGUGUAGUGGUCAGCACGCUUGACGCGUAACCGAGAAGUCCGUGGUUCGAUUCCUGGCGGAGACG